CAAUAGCGUAUAUUUAAGUUGCUGCGGUUAAAAAGCUCGUAGUUGGAUUUCGGGUGGGAAUGGCCGGUCCGCCGUUUCGGUGUGCACUUGCUACGCCCACCUUGCUGCCGGGGACGUGCUCUUGAGUUCACGCUCGGGACACGGAGUCGGCGAGGUUACUUUGAGUAAAUUAGAGUGUUCAAAGCAGGCCUACGCUCUGAAUACAUUAGCAUGGAAUAACACGAUAGGACUCUGGCCUAUCUUGUUGGUCUGUAGGACCGGAGUAAUGAUUAAGAGGGACAGUCGGGGGCAUUCGUAUUUCAUUGUCAGAGGUGAAAUUCUUGGAUUUAUGAAAGACGAACUACUGCGAAAGCAUUUGCCAAGGAUGUUUUCAUUAA
Molecule: ribosomal RNA, 377 nt
Filed under: uncultured eukaryote
Lineage: Eukaryota
Description: partial 18S ribosomal RNA
Rfam family: Eukaryotic small subunit ribosomal RNA
Source: RNAcentral